GAUGAACGCUGGCGGCGUGCCUAAUACAUGCAAGUCGAGCGAAUGGAUUAAGAGCUUGCUCUUAUGAAGUUAGCGGCGGACGGGUGAGUAACACGUGGGUAACCUGCCCAUAAGACUGGGAUAACUCCGGGAAACCGGGGCUAAUACCGGAUAACAUUUUGAACCGCAUGGUUCGAAAUUGAAAGGCGGCUUCGGCUGUCACUUAUGGAUGGACCCGCGUCGCAUUAGCUAGUUGGUGAGGUAACGGCUCACCAAGGCAACGAUGCGUAGCCGACCUGAGAGGGUGAUCGGCAACACAGGGACUGAGACACGGCCCAGACGCCUACGGGAGGCAGCAGUAGGGAAUCUUCCGCAAUGGACGAAAGUCUGACGGAGCAACGCCGCGUGAGUGAGGAAGGCUUUCGGGUCGUAAAACUCUGUUGUUAGGGAAGAACAAGUGCUAGUUGAAUAAGCUGGCACCUUGACGGUACCUAGCCAGAAAGCCACGGCUAACUACGUGCCAGCCGCCGCAGUAA
RNAcentral lists this ribosomal RNA (515 nucleotides) under uncultured bacterium. RNAcentral's name for it is "partial 16S ribosomal RNA". It matches the Rfam family "Bacterial small subunit ribosomal RNA", at positions 28 to 523 of the family's 1533-position model. The record is from RNAcentral.